Molecule: ribosomal RNA, 459 nt
Filed under: uncultured bacterium
Lineage: Bacteria
Description: partial 16S ribosomal RNA
Rfam family: Bacterial small subunit ribosomal RNA
Source: RNAcentral
CCUACGGGAGGCAGCAGUGAGGAAUAUUGGUCAAUGGUCGGGAGACUGAACCAGCCAAGCCGCGUGAGGGAUGAAGGUACAGAGUAUCGUAAACCUCUUUUGUCAGGGAACAAAGGCGGGGACGUGUCCCCGGAUGAGUGUACCUGAAGAAAAAGCAUCGGCUAACUCCGUGCCAGCAGCCGCGGUAAUACGGAGGAUGCGAGCGUUAUCCGGAUUUAUUGGGUUUAAAGGGUGCGCAGGCGGUCUGUUAAGUCAGCGGUAAAAGCCCGGGGCUCAACCCCGGCCCGCCGUUGAAACUGGCAGUCUCGAGUAGGAGAGAAGUAUGCGGAAUGCGCGGUGUAGGGGUGAAAUGCAUAGAUAUCGCGCAGAACUCAGAUUGCGAAGGCAGCAUGCCGGCUCCACACUGACGCUGAGGCACGAAAGCGUGGGUAUCGAACAGGAUUAGAUACCCGUGUAGUC